AGAUGUGUCCUUGAUCAUCACAGCUUAUUUAAAUGGUUAAAUGACCAACAUGUCUUGAAGUUCUCCAGAGGCCUGGUAAUGAACUAAUCAUUUGAUUCAGGUGUGUAGACCCAGGGUGAGAUUUAAAACCUGUAGGACUCUGGCCUACAGAAGAAGAAUAAAGGAAAUCAUAGCAAUUACUGACUUUCAAGCUCAUUGGAAUUGUACAAACCCUUUUAUCUUAUAUUCUCUGGAGUUUUCCAAUUUCCCGUUGCACAGUAUAAAGAAAUCAGGGGUCUCUCAAUACUUUUGCACAGUACUGUACAGUAAAUGGCAAUAAACACACUGUGUGUCAAUUUUGUCCUGAACAUUUUCUGUGUAAAACGACUCAGUGUCUUCCCACCCUCUGCUACCAAUUGCUGACAGUGCCUAAAAAUAAUCAUAAAAAUGCAAUAAUGCUGAUGCUGUAGUCUGGAUUGGUGCUGCAAGAUCAGCUCUCUGGCAGAAAAGCAUGCUUUCAGUUAAUGUUUUACUGAUAAGUUCCAUGUUAGACAUGCUAAUCAGCAACAUGUUCUAAUUGCAAUGACAGAAACACAAUUCUGUCACAACUGUGCAAAGUGAUUGCUGGUGUCACUUACAUACAAAUAAAGACAGAGUCAAUGUAGCAAAAUUAACAAAACACUGUGAGUUAGAUUAGUUGAAUAAAACACGUCAUUGUCUCCACUUGCCUUCAGAACCAGCCUCCACUUUCUCCCCCUUUCUUAAACCAACUGUGUGUGUAACUGUGUGUGUGUAACUGUGUGUGUGUGUGAAUAAGAAGGUUUCUCUGAAGUUGUGAGGACAUAUGAGAGGUAUGCACUACCAGUUCCAGCUGGAUCUGGCUGACACACCUGCUCCACCUCAGUAAUCACUCACCUGGAGUACUUAAAGAGAGGUUCAUUUAUUUUUCCUUUGUCGGGUUUUUACAGUAGUACAAGCAGCAGCAUGUUGGGCUCACUGUUUUUGAGCUUACCUUUGGGUGUCCUUGUGCUCUGUAUCCCUCCUGUAAAUCAGCCAAACUUGUCCUUGGGAACUCCACUCACCUGAAAACCUGCAUCUGUCUCCUGGAUCUCCAGAAAUCAGCUCCUAGGAAAACCUACCUACCACUGUUGUCUGUGUCAUCGUUUCACCCAUUAACCCCUAUUUUUUGUGGCAAUAAGCUAUAAUACAUACAGUACAUAAAUAAAACAGUCAUUUACAUGUAACAAAAGAUUAGCUACUCAUUUUUAUAUAUCAUUUGGCCUCCUGCAGAUGUUUUUUGAAGAUGAACCUCUUGUCCUGGAACACCCUGUAUUAUAAUAACUAGCUUGUAGAAUUGCUGAGCUCUAUUUCUGUUGCAUCAAACUUGGAUGCUUUGAAGAUAUAACAGGUUAAAUGACAUCAUUGUCACUGUCGCUGUGUUUUAUUUGUUCUUUAAAGUUUGUAAUGUAAAAUAUACUAACAUUUACUACCAGUAUAGCGUAAUGAUGCCGCAGUGGACCAGGGGAGUGGUUGUUACCAUCAUUGUCAACAAAGAUCUAUCCAGUAUAAAUCAGUAUCAUAUUCACGACCAAGUUACUGUAUUAUGUUUAAGUCACAUACAACCAUGUGAUUUAAUGUAAUUUAAGAAAAGGCUUCAAGUAAAAUCAACCAAGCCAAACUAAAACUGACUUUAUGGUUUAAACAAAUUAUGUCUUUUUCUUGGUUUGAACUUUGUUGGAAACAUAUGAGAGAAUGCAAGCAGAAGCUAUGUGAACAGCUAGCACACAGUGAGGGUGACAUAGUGUAAAGAUAGACAGGACCCACUGCAGAGACUGGUCAUACGGAUUCUUUAGCCUCUUUUAAUUCAGUCAAGAUGUAGAUAACAUGGUGAUGUAUUAUCGUCUAAACUCCUCAGUCAUGACCCCAAGGCAGGAGAGAGGGUUCAUAUCACAGACAGUUUAGAAAUUCUGUAAUUUGACAGAUUCAAAUUACUGUUGUUAUGUAUGUAAUAACUGUUGUUAUUACAUGAUAAUGUUGUCCUUUGUAUAAUGUACAACCAAUGAUGCCAGAAGUCCCCUAGUCUGUGAUACUGUCAUCAUUUUCUUACAGUAUGUCUUAGCUGUAACUCUCUAGGUUCUUAUCUUAUUCAGGGUUAGGUAAAUAUGGGUCCAAUGUUUUGAUGCAUGUCUGUUAUAGCCUGUCACAUGCAAACACACACAACCUCACACGCCAGCAUAGCACAGAAAACUUUACAGUAAACAGUGGGUGAUCGUCAAGGUGCUUCACCCAGCUAUACUCUGUACUGAGUAUUACUUCAUGCUGUAUGUAUAUCUGAGUUCUGAUGUCUGUUUAGUUUCUGUGAACUUUUGGAUACCUUGUAGAGCACUGUACUGUUCUAGUGGUCAUUUUGAUUUCUUGGUUUUUAUUAAAUUUCAGUUUCUAUUUUCAGCUCCUUCUUUCUGGUGUGUCUGAUUCUCUCAGUGUUUGCCUGGCUUCAUCUCCCUCUGUCUCAUCUUUCUGCUUAUUCCUCUGUUACUGAUGUCUAGAGUCUUCUUGUCUCUGUGUUUAGCAUUGGCCUUUUUGUUGCUUUCUGUUUUAAUUGAAGGCUAAUUUUCUUUUUGUGAAUGUUCUCACCUGUUUUAUUCAUGUUCACUUGUGUGCUGCUCCCCUGUUUCCGGAAUUUUAAAAAAAAAAAGUGUUCAGAGAGUGAAUAUAUUUAUAUAUAGCUCAAAAAAUGAACAUUACAGCUCACCUUUAGUUUAAAUAGUUUUGCCUCCAGUCUUUGGAGCCUUACCUCUAUACUCUACUCUACAAUAAGGGUAAACAUGAACUGAUACUAUUUGCCCAGCAUCAGCUGUGCAAGGUUCCAGCCCCUACAACUAACACGAUGCUGGUGCAGAACCUGUUCCAUCGAGAACCAGCUACAAUUCCACAGAUUUGAGAGGCGAUAAUAAGUAGAAUUCUUAGCACAAGCAGCUAAAUUCCAUGAGGAGCAAGUCACGAUGGACAGAAUCUGUGAAAUACUGCGUACUGCUGCAUAAAAGUCUAGUAAAAGAUAAAUGAGAGUUAUUCUGAUCUGUCUUUCAUGCAAAGCUAAGCAGGUAGGAUCCAAGGAUAAAAAUAUAAAUAUGUAUAAAAUGUAUUCGACUUUUCUCAAGCAGGUUUUGUAUUUUGCAAAAAGUCCAAAUCUAAAAAGUGGGAAAACAGUGAUAUUAGAUUUGUUAUUAUUCACUCAUAAAAAUCACAUGCAAAAACGAAACUUUCAAGAGAUUACUAACUAAACUAAAGUAAUCAAAUAAACCUGUGUGCCCAGAUAUUUAAAUGACAUUACUGUCACGGUCCCCGUGCCUCACCGGCUGAUUCCGUGUUAGGCAACAUGUGUUUUGUUCUUGUGCUCUCUCUCUCCCUCUUUCCCCGGCCACAGCGGUGCUCACUGUGGGCUCCGCCCCUGGCCCACACACCUGUGCUCAUCAUCACACCUGGCGCUGGUUACUACAAUCAGAAGGGCUUUUUAAGAUGGCAGACCUACACUACUCGUCGCUGGAACGUUGAGUCACCUGCAUUCCCCCCCGGACCCGUCCUUGUACCCCUGAGUGAGCGAGAGGAGCGACUGGAGUGGAAAAGAGUGGGAUUGUUGGUUGAAAGAGCAGAGUGUGGUUUUGGACCCUUCCCCCCCUGGAGCCCCGGACCCCUUCCCCGAGCACCUUGUAUAUAUAUAAUCACCCGGUGACACCACUGUAAAUAAACGCACUAUCAGUUUCUGCAAAGGUCUCCUGUUCUGCGCCUGAGUCCGUUUACAAAACCGUGUCAAUUACUCAAUUUUUUAAAAAUGUAAACGUCAAUAUUCAGUGAGAACAAACCUGUGCUGACUACGAUAACCUCGAUGGCAACAGCAGUUUAGAUCUUUUUCAGUGGUUUUGCAGGCAUAUCUCUAGAUAUUACUUGCUUCAGGAAAAUCAAUCAGCAGCUAACAUUAGAAAGAACUGUAUCACAUCCCCUGUUUGCCAGUAAAGGUCAGCCGAGUGAAAUUACGUUAGACUACAAUGUUAACCAUGCUCAAAAUGAAUUUGCUGGAUUGUAAAAUCGGAAUUAGCUGCUGCUGGUUGUUUCUAAAGCAAAUUGUCAAUUUCAGAACAAUAUCCUGCUGAAAGAAAUUUUCAUUCUGUAUGUGAUGUGGUGAUUUUCUCCGACUCCUGUGAGCCCGGUGCAAAGCUGUGAGAAAAGAGCGAGUCCAUUUAUUUGUUAAGGCAAUUGAUUUCUCCAAAGAACAAGAAUAGAUAUGAGCGGUGACACACACUGAGAAAUCACUCAGGCUCUCUAUGAGGGCAUUCAUGUUGUCUGCCCUUUGCUUUGGUGAUAAAUCCCAAACGGGUAUUUAAGCUUCAUGUGGGAAUUCGGUUUCUUUCUUUAUUUCUAACAGAACUGGACUGCCUGGAGAAAAAUGAAGAAGCACGACAAACAAAUCUGUGCUAUGCUUUUUUAAUGCAGAGAAAUACGUCUGAUUAGUCUGAUCCACACUCUCCUUUUUGUUCACUCUCAGUUUGUUUCAGCAGGCAUGCGGUGAUGUAAGUUAACUUCAGAUAAAAUAUUGUAAACAAAUAUGUACACACGGUAAUAUAGCUGUCUAAAACCAUUCUUUCAAUAAAUGUAAAGUUACUGUAAACAUGCACUCUUUCAUCACUGAGCUCUCUCUGCACCCAGGCUCCACUCGCUCCGAUUAAAGGAUAACGAUAUGCUGUUAUGACAUCGCCACAGUAUUGUACUAUUUACCAGUUAGGCUAAAUGGCUUUAUAUUUGAAUGACAUGAUGAACCUGAACUCCGCCCAGCGUCCUGAAUGAUGCUGAUCACAUUUGGGUGGGGUUUGGCUGGACAUCUUGUGUGUUUUCAUGGGGCCUGGGUGCGAGAGCGAAGACUCGGCGUGCUGUUAAAGGGAACCAGAGUACAAAGGCAUGAAUGCCUGACCCUACGGCGGAGCUCAGUUUGCACCAUCAGAGCGUCUCUGCAGUCAUAUCAGUUCGGACAGUUUACUACAAACUCACCUCUUGUUUAGCUUUAACACAUACACAUUUACACUCUCUGAGAGGUGUACAUUACUUGUUUGGGAUGACAUUUUUAGUCAUUUUUCUUGAGAUUUAGAUCAGUGUUUCAAACAGAAUAAUCUCAUUCAAGGUCCACAUGUCACCUUUAUAUGCUGGAUUUUUGUGGUCGAUCCCUAUUUUUCAAAAAGAAAAGAAAAGAAAAGAAAAGCAUGAAGUGAUUGGAAUAAUUUACACAUUCAUAAAUUUGGUAUUAGUCUGCACCUUAAUCGUCAACGCUCAAAUGUCUCCACAAGUAUUUGAUCUACUGCCCUUACAAUUUCAGUUCACGGUUGCACGCUUUUCUGUCUAUUUGCUAUGUUAUCAGUAACCAGCAUGGACACUGCUUUCUAGGCUAAAUUUGGUCUUGAAACAAUGUAUCUUUAAAUUUGGUUGAAAAGUGAAAAGACCUUUGAAGACUAUAUAAAAAUCCUUGUUGGCUGCAACUAGGUCCAGGUUAAAGACCAAAGGUUACUGUGCUUUCCAGAUUGUUUAUUUUAAUUUGGUGUAUACCUGCUUCUGUAUUGUAAAGCACUUUGUGAAGCACUAUAUAAAUAAACCUUAUUUACUUCUUACUAAAAAA
Molecule: long non-coding RNA, 5638 nt
Organism: Oreochromis niloticus (Nile tilapia)
Lineage: Eukaryota; Metazoa; Chordata; Actinopteri; Cichliformes; Cichlidae
Exons: 2
Source: RefSeq, a predicted model, not a curated record